RNAcentral lists this long non-coding RNA (374 nucleotides) under Hordeum vulgare. RNAcentral describes it as "long non-coding RNA (HVUL_LNC001511)". Lineage: Eukaryota; Viridiplantae; Streptophyta; Magnoliopsida; Poales; Poaceae. The record is from RNAcentral.
AAGAGGCCCGCGACGGCGCGGCGCAUGCGGCGGUGCGCGCCGUGGGAGGUGCAGAGGAGGCUGUGCUCGCCGAGCAGGUCGGCGACGGUGCGCACGUAGCGCUUGGCGAAGUGCGGCGGGUCGGCGGCCAGGAGGCGCGCGGCGGCGGCGCGGGCGCGGGCGGAGAGGAGGAAGACGUGGGUGCGGCCGAAGAGCACGGUCCGGAAGCAGGNCGGGUCGGCGGCCAGGAGGCGCGCGGCGGCGGCGCGCGCGCGGGCGGAGAGGAGGAAGACGUGGGUGCGGCCGAAGAGCACGGUCCGGAAGCAGGCGCCGUGCCGGAGCGCGCGCGCGUGGACGAAGUGGUAGAAGCCCCUGCCGCUGCUGUUGUCCGCCAG